Molecule: long non-coding RNA, 338 nt
Organism: Mizuhopecten yessoensis (Yesso scallop)
Lineage: Eukaryota; Metazoa; Mollusca; Bivalvia; Pectinida; Pectinidae
Exons: 3
Source: RefSeq, a predicted model, not a curated record
AAACAGGAAAGAGUCCAGGCGAUAUAUCCAACAAAGAAAAUAGCCAACCUGUGGACAUGGACGGUUUUGCGGAUGAUGAGGGUGCUAAUCCGGCAACAGUAGAAUUGCUGGAAACAGGAAAGAGUCCAGGCGAUAUAUCCAACAAAGAAAAUAGCCAACCUGUGGACAUGGACGGUUUUGCGGAUGAUGAACCACAGCCUGGAAAGUCGGGUAUUGCUCUCAGUGACACUGUUCAGAUUGACAAUGAGAACUGAUAACAGGGAAACCGUUAGUGUUUUAUUAGUUAAACUGGAACAUAUAAAAAAAAAAUCAGAAAAAUGUUGUUCCUGAAAAUGUCA